GGGCGACGGUUGUCCCGGUUUAAGCGUGUAGGCUGGUUUUCCAGGCAAAUCCGGAGAAUCAAGGCUGAGGCGUGAUGACGAGGCACUACGGUGCUGAAGCAACAAAUGCCCUGCUUCCAGGAAAAGCCUCUAAGCAUCAGGUAACAUCAAAUCGUACCCCAAACCGACACAGGUGGUCAGGUAGAGAAUACCAAGGCGCUUGAGAGAACUCGGGUGAAGGAACUAGGCAAAAUGGUGCCGUAACUUCGGGAGAAGGCACGCUGAUAUGUAGGUGAAGCGACUUGCUCGUGGAGCUGAAAUCAGUCGAAGAUACCAGCUGGCUGCAACUGUUUAUUAAAAACACAGCACUGUGCAAACACGAAAGUGGACGUAUACGGUGUGACGCCUGCCCGGUGCCGGAAGGUUAAUUGAUGGGGUCAGCGCAAGCGAAGCUCUUGAUCGAAGCCCCGGUAAACGGCGGCCGUAACUAUAACGGUCCUAAGGUAGCGAAAUUCCUUGUCGGGUAAGUUCCGACCUGCACGAAUGGCGUAAUGAUGGCCAGGCUGUCUCCACCCGAGACUCAGUGAAAUUGAACUCGCUGUGAAGAUGCAGUGUACCCGCGGCAAGACGGAAAGACCCCGUGAACCUUUACUAUAGCUUGACACUGAACACUGGUCCUUGAUGUGUAGGAUAGGUGGGAGGCUUUGAAGUGUGGACGCCAGUCUGCAUGGAGCCGUCCUUGAAAUACCACCCUUUAAUGGCUGGUGUUCUAACGUAGGCCCCUUACCGGGGUUGCGGACAGUGUCUGGUGGGUAGUUUGACUGGGGCGGUCUCCUCCUAAAGAGUAACGGAGGAGCACGAAGGUUGGCUAAUCCUGGUCGGACAUCAGGAGGUUAGUGCAAUGGCAUAAGCCAGCUUGACUGCGAGCGUGACGGCGCGAGCAGGUGCGAAAGCAGGUCAUAGUGAUCCGGUGGUUCUGAAUGGAAGGGCCAUCGCUCAACGGAUAAAAGGUACUCCGGGGAUAACAGGCUGAUACCGCCCAAGAGUUCAUAUCGACGGCGGUGUUUGGCACCUCGAUGUCGGCUCAUCACAUCCUGGGGCUGAAGUAGGUCCCAAGGGUAUGGCUGUUCGCCAUUUAAAGUGGUACGCGAGCUGGGUUUAGAACGUCGUGAGACAGUUCGGUCCCUAUCUGCCGUGGGCGCUGGAGAACUGAGGGGGGCUGCUCCUAGUACGAGAGGACCGGAGUGGACGCAUCACUGGUGUUCGGGUUGUCAUGCCAAUGGCACUGCCCGGUAGCUAAAUGCGGAAGAGAUAAGUGCUGAAAGCAUCUAAGCACGAAACUUGCCCCGAGAUGAGUUCUCCCUGAGACUUAGAGUCUCCUGAAGGAACGUUGAAGACGACGACGUUGAUAGGCCGGGUGUGUAAGCGCAGCGAUGCGUUGAGCUAACCGGUACUA
This 1435-nucleotide ribosomal RNA is filed under the name Escherichia albertii. RNAcentral describes it as "bacterial LSU rRNA". It matches the Rfam family "Bacterial large subunit ribosomal RNA", at positions 1493 to 2903 of the family's 2925-position model. Lineage: Bacteria; Pseudomonadati; Pseudomonadota; Gammaproteobacteria; Enterobacterales; Enterobacteriaceae. The record is from RNAcentral.